This 359-nucleotide long non-coding RNA is filed under the name Mytilus galloprovincialis (Mediterranean mussel). The record is from RNAcentral. Lineage: Eukaryota; Metazoa; Mollusca; Bivalvia; Mytilida; Mytilidae.
UUUAAAUAACAUGGUAUCAUUUGCGCCAAAAAUAAAACAUACGAUUGCGUCAAUUAGAAGAAAAAUGACUUUUCUACUCCUUUAUUCGGAUUAGAACCGGCAGCUUACAUGGCAAAUGUUUCCUUUUCUGGAACAUAUCUUCUUCUUACUGCUGAUACAUUGGUACUUCCCAAUUUAAUGUAUCUAGUAGCUUGUAACUUCACUUCAUUGUCCAAAAACACAAACAUUAAAGGAUGAUAUAUGCAUAAAACAGUUCAUAUUAAUUCCUUAUAAUAAUAAAGCCCAUACGCAUGGUGGGAACAAAGCACUGUGUCAUCAACAUAUGUGGCUAAAUCAUAAUCAGCAAAAGCUUCUCUGUU